UACGGGGGGGGCAAGCGUUGUUCGGAAUUACUGGGCGUAAAGGGCUCGUAGGCGGCCAACUAAGUCAGACGUGAAAUCCCUCGGCUUAACCGGGGAACUGCCUCUGAUACUGGAUGGCUUGAGAUUGGGAGAGGGAUGCGGAAUUCCAGGUGUAGCGGUGAAAUGCGUAGAUAUCUGGAGGAACACCGGUGGCGAAGGCGGCAUCCUGGACCAACACUGACGCUGAGGAGCGAAAGCCAGGGGAGCAAACGGA
This 253-nucleotide ribosomal RNA is filed under the name uncultured bacterium. Its description in RNAcentral is "partial 16S ribosomal RNA". It matches the Rfam family "Bacterial small subunit ribosomal RNA", at positions 524 to 776 of the family's 1533-position model. The record is from RNAcentral.